UACAGAGGUCUCAAGCGUUGUUCGGAUUCAUUGGGCGUAAAGGGUGCGUAGGCGGCGCGGCAAGUCGGGUGUGAAAUCUCGGGGCUUAACUGCGAAACUGCAUUCGAUACUGCCGUGCUUGAGGACUGGAGAGGAGACUGGAAUUUACGGUGUAGCGGUGAAAUGCGUAGAUAUCUGGAGGAACACCGGUGGCGAAGGCGACAUCCUGGGCCGGUAUUGGCGCUGAGUGAACGAAAGCCGGGGGAGCAAACGGG
Molecule: ribosomal RNA, 254 nt
Filed under: uncultured bacterium
Lineage: Bacteria
Description: partial 16S ribosomal RNA
Rfam family: Bacterial small subunit ribosomal RNA
Source: RNAcentral